This 348-nucleotide ribosomal RNA is filed under the name Scymnus penicilliformis. RNAcentral describes it as "partial large subunit ribosomal RNA". The record is from RNAcentral. Lineage: Eukaryota; Metazoa; Arthropoda; Insecta; Coleoptera; Coccinellidae.
AGUAGGGCCUGCCCACUGAUAAUUGAAGGGCCGCAGUAUUCUAACUGUGCAAAGGUAGCAUAAUCAUUAGUUUUUUAAUUGAAAGCUGGUAUGAAUGGUUUGAUGAGAAAUUAGCUGUUUCAGUAUUAAUUUUUUAAAAUUUUAUUUUUAAGUUAAAAAGCUUAAAUAUAUAUAAAAGACGAGAAGACCCUAUAGAGUUUAAUUAAUAUUAAUUUAGUAAAUAUAAAGAAUUUUAAUAUUUAUUUAGUUAAAUUAAUUUAAUUGGGGUGAUUGAAAAAUUAGGUUAACUUUUUUUAUUAGAUUUCAUUGAUUUAUGAUUUAUUGAUCCAUAAAAAUGAUUAAAAGAUU